Acanthopagrus latus (yellowfin seabream) is the source of this 426-nucleotide long non-coding RNA. RefSeq lists it as uncharacterized. The transcript has 3 exons. The record is from RefSeq and is a predicted model, not a curated record. NCBI's taxonomy places the organism in Eukaryota, Metazoa, Chordata, Actinopteri, Spariformes, Sparidae.
CAGCGACGGCCGUCAGGGCAAACUCAAACUGGUCCUGGAGCCAAGAAGACAGACAAGUUUCCUUCACAUCAAGUCUACAAUGCAACCUGUAAAAUCAGUAAACUCUGAAAGUUAACAACUCAAGUCAAGAUUAAAAAACGUCUGAUCCCGGAGCAUUUUAAAGUCGGACAUGGAAAUGGAAACUUGAAAACCUCCUCAGAAGCUCUAGCUGAGAGUCAAAGGAAGGAUCAGCUGUGGCGUUUAAACAUAAUCACUCCAGGCUUCAUUGAGGAGAGAAUGAAACGAUGCAGGUAGCAGCAGUACCUGCGGAAGUCCAGCAGGGGGCGUGUGGAGGUGGGGAUGCCCUGAGCCGGCCAGCUGAGGAAGUGGAACUGAGUGAGAGUCCUGGUCUCCUGCGUCUGCACGUUCUUCAGGUAGAAGCUUCGC